UGGGGAAUAUUGCACAAUGGGCGAAAGCCUGAUGCAGCAACGCCGCGUGAGUGAUGAAGGCCCUCGGGUUGUAAAGCUCUGUCUUUUGGGACGAUAAUGACGGUACCAAAGGAGGAAGCCACGGCUAACUACGUGCCAGCAGCCGCGGUAAUACGUAGGUGGCAAGCGUUGUCCGGAUUUACUGGGCGUAAAGGAUGCGUAGGCGGAUUUUUAAGUGAGAUGUGAAAUACCCGGGCUUAACUUGGGUGCUGCAUUUCAAACUGGGAAUCUAGAGUGCGGGAGAGGAGAAUGGAAUUCCUAGUGUAGCGGUGAAAUGCGUAGAGAUUAGGAAGAACACCAGUGGCGAAGGCGAUUCUCUGGACCGUAACUGACGCUGAGGCAUGAAAGCGUGGGUAGCAAACAGGAUUAGAUACCCUGGUAGUCCACGCCGUAAACGAUGAGUACUAGGUGUAGGAGGUAUCGACCCCUUCUGUGCCGCAGUUAACACAAUAAGUACUCCGCCUGGGAAGUACGAUCGCAAGAUUAAAACUCAAAUGAAUUGACGGGGUCAUAGCUGUUUUCC
RNAcentral lists this ribosomal RNA (562 nucleotides) under uncultured bacterium. RNAcentral's name for it is "partial 16S ribosomal RNA". It matches the Rfam family "Bacterial small subunit ribosomal RNA", at positions 355 to 938 of the family's 1533-position model. The record is from RNAcentral.